UGGCUCGCCUCAGCAGCUCAUACGAUAAAAUUGGAAUGAUGCAGAGAUUAGCACGGCCCCUGUGCAAGG
Molecule: small nuclear RNA, 69 nt
Filed under: Peromyscus maniculatus bairdii (prairie deer mouse)
Lineage: Eukaryota; Metazoa; Chordata; Mammalia; Rodentia; Cricetidae
Source: RNAcentral